This 468-nucleotide ribosomal RNA is filed under the name uncultured bacterium. RNAcentral describes it as "partial 16S ribosomal RNA". It matches the Rfam family "Bacterial small subunit ribosomal RNA", at positions 28 to 507 of the family's 1533-position model. The record is from RNAcentral.
GACGAACGCUGGCGGCGUGCUUAACACAUGCGAGUCGAACGGAAAGGCCCUGCUUUUGUGGGGUGCUCGAGUGGCGAACGGGUGAGUAACACGUGAGUAACCUGCCCUUGACUUUGGGAUAACUUCAGGAAACUGGGGCUAAUACCGGAUAGGAGCUCCUGCUGCAUGGUGGGGGUUGGAAAGUUUCGGCGGUUGGGGAUGGACUCGCGGCUUAUCAGCUUGUUGGUGGAGUAGUGGCUUACCAAGGCUUUGACAGGUAGCCGGCCUGAGAGGGUGACCGGCCACAUUGGGAUUGAGAUACGGCCCAGACUCCUACGGGAGGCAGCAGUGGGGAAUAUUGCACAAUGGGCGGAAGCCUGAUGCAGCAACGCCGCGUGCGGGAUGACGGCCUUCGGGUUGUAAACCGCUUUCGCCUGUGACGAAGCGUGAGUGACGGUAAUGGGUAAAGAAGCACCGGCUAACUACGUG